RNAcentral lists this ribosomal RNA (417 nucleotides) under Salmonella enterica. RNAcentral's name for it is "partial 23S ribosomal RNA". It matches the Rfam family "Bacterial large subunit ribosomal RNA", at positions 1 to 448 of the family's 2925-position model. Lineage: Bacteria; Pseudomonadati; Pseudomonadota; Gammaproteobacteria; Enterobacterales; Enterobacteriaceae. The record is from RNAcentral.
GGGUUGUGAGGUUAAGCGACUAAGCGUACACGGUGGAUGCCCUGGCAGUCAGAGGCGAUGAAGGGCGUGCUAAUCUGCGAUAAGCGCCGGUAAGGUGAUAUGAACCGUUAUAACCGGCGAUACCCGAAUGGGGAAACCCAGUGUGAUUCGUCACACUAUCAUUAACUGAAUCCAUAGGUUAAUGAGGCGAACCGGGGGAACUGAAACAUCUAAGUACCCCGAGGAAAAGAAAUCAACCGAGAUUCCCCCAGUAGCGGCGAGCGAACGGGGAGGAGCCCAGAGCCUGAAUCAGCAUGUGUGUUAGUGGAAGCGUCUGGAAAGGCGCGCGAUACAGGGUGACAGCCCCGUACACAAAAGCGCAUGUGCUGUGAGCUCGAUGAGUAGGGCGGGACACGUGGUAUCCUGUCUGAAUAUGGG